AAGUCGUAACAAGGUUUCCGUAGGUGAACCUGCGGAAGGAUCAUUAUCGAGUUUUUUUUGAAACGGGUUGUCGCUGGCCUUUUCUUUCACAAGAAAAGGCAUGUGCACGCCUGGCUUCAUCAUCCACUCUUCAACCUCUGUGCAUUUUUUGUAGGAUUGGUUUUGAAGCAGGCGCAAGUCUGCAGAUGGCCUUUCCUAUGUUUUACUACAAACGCUUCAGUUAUAGAAUGUUUACUUGCGAAUAACCGCAUUUAUAUACAACUUUCAGCAACGGAUCUCUUGGCUCUC
RNAcentral lists this unclassified non-coding RNA (288 nucleotides) under air metagenome. RNAcentral's name for it is "partial contains small subunit ribosomal RNA, internal transcribed spacer 1, and 5.8S ribosomal RNA". The stretch from base 1 to 46 matches the Rfam family "Eukaryotic small subunit ribosomal RNA", at positions 1786 to 1831 of the family's 1831-position model. The record is from RNAcentral.